CACCUUGCGUACCCUACUAUACGG
Molecule: non-coding RNA, 24 nt
Filed under: Arabidopsis thaliana (thale cress)
Lineage: Eukaryota; Viridiplantae; Streptophyta; Magnoliopsida; Brassicales; Brassicaceae
Source: RNAcentral